AUCAUAAGGGAGGAGGGAGGAGGAAAGUCCCAUCGCACAAGCAGAAAUACUUGUGCUGAUGAUAGGACGGUUUAGUAGCCUCUGUCAGCACCAAUCAGUUUUCAGGCAUGGUUUAGAUUCAUUUUUCUUCUUCAUCUGCAGACAUUUCCCCUCUCCCUUUGCAGGUGAGGGUUGACCCCAAAUCCUGCUUGCAAAUGGACUUCGACUGAGUGUGUGCUGCCUUGCAAAGCUUCUGACUGACAGCAUACCUUCAACAGAGCUUGCUGAAAACCACCUUUGUGGAGGAGGAGUUGGCACCAGCAUAGACUCUGAUUUGUUGUCCAGUGGCUGAGCCAGGACCGGAUUGAGGUUGGAUGAGGCCCUAAGCUACUGAAGCUCAACCAGCUCUUCUAGCACAGAGGACACUGAAUUCCGGUUUCCCAUUACAGCAACUAAGGAACAGAAAAUGCCGAACGAAUUAGUGUCAGUUUCUUUCUCUGAGGAUUUGAUGUGGAGACAACAGGUCUCCUGCCCUCCUUAG
Molecule: non-coding RNA, 520 nt
Organism: Zootoca vivipara (common lizard)
Lineage: Eukaryota; Metazoa; Chordata; Lepidosauria; Squamata; Lacertidae
Source: RefSeq, a predicted model, not a curated record